AUGCGGAAAAAAACCCGUCUAGGCAGCUCCUACUUAGUUCACAUUUACGAUCCCUUUCUGUACCUUGUUAUUGAUUAUGUCCUAGAGGUGAGGGAAACGAGGGAUCUUACGGGUGAAUCUGUUUCAAGACCGAACCAGCAAGGGACUAGAACUGAACACCCACACCCAGCUCGCUCAAAAAGAAGACGCACUUCUUCCAUCAAGGCUGCCUCCAAAGUAGUUUUAAAGACUUCAACAUAUCCCAACAAGAGGAAUGUUGCGUAUGGUACUAUUCGGAGUAAUGAUCCAAGAACUAAGGUUGGUGGUAUUGAGUUAGGUGUUGAAUUUGCCCUUGUGCGCAUAGAUCAACCUAUAGUUGAUAAUGAGGAGUUGGUAAGGGAAGUUUCUGAUUGCAAGACAUUUAGUGAGGCUUUCACUUCAUGA
Molecule: ribosomal RNA, 423 nt
Filed under: Triticum aestivum (bread wheat)
Lineage: Eukaryota; Viridiplantae; Streptophyta; Magnoliopsida; Poales; Poaceae
Description: partial small subunit ribosomal RNA
Source: RNAcentral